CAGUCGCCGCGGGAAUACGUAGGUGGCAAGCGUUGUCCGGAAUUAUUGGGCGUAAAGGGCUCGCAGGCGGUUUCUUAAGUCUGAUGUGGAAGCCCCCGGCUCAACCGGGGAGGGUCAUUGGAAACUGGGAAACUUGAGUGCAGAAGAGGAGAGUGGAAUUCCACGUGUAGCGGUGAAAUGCGUAGAGAUGUGGAGGAACACCAGUGGCGAAGGCGACUCUCUGGUCUGUAACUGACGCUGAGGAGCGAAAGCGUGGGGAGCGAACAGGAUUAGAUACCCCGGUAGUCCCUGUCUCUUAUAC
RNAcentral lists this ribosomal RNA (301 nucleotides) under uncultured bacterium. RNAcentral describes it as "partial 16S ribosomal RNA". It matches the Rfam family "Bacterial small subunit ribosomal RNA", at positions 509 to 807 of the family's 1533-position model. The record is from RNAcentral.